UCGUAACAAGGUUUCCGUAGGUGAACCUGCGGAAGGAUCAUUACCGAGUGCGGGUCCUUUGGGCCCAACCUCCCAUCCGUGUCUAUUAUACCCUGUUGCUUCGGCGGGCCCGCCGCUUGUCGGCCGCCGGGGGGGCGCCUUUGCCCCCCGGGCCCGUGCCCGCCGGAGACCCCAACACGAACACUGUCUGAAAGCGUGCAGUCUGAGUUGAUUGAAUGCAAUCAGUUAAAACUUUCAACAAUGGAUCUCUUGGUUCCGGCAUCGAUGAAGAACGCAGCGAAAUGCGAUAACUAAUGUGAAUUGCAGAAUUCAGUGAAUCAUCGAGUCUUUGAACGCACAUUGCGCCCCCUGGUAUUCCGGGGGGCAUGCCUGUCCGAGCGUCAUUGCUGCCCUCAAGCCCGGCUUGUGUGUUGGGUCGCCGUCCCCCUCUCCGGGGGGACGGGCCCGAAAGGCAGCGGCGGCACCGCGUCCGAUCCUCGAGCGUAUGGGGCUUUGUCACAUGCUCUGUAGGAUUGGCCGGCGCCUGCCGACGUUUUCCAACC
Molecule: ribosomal RNA, 542 nt
Filed under: Aspergillus tubingensis
Lineage: Eukaryota; Fungi; Ascomycota; Eurotiomycetes; Eurotiales; Aspergillaceae
Description: partial 18S ribosomal RNA
Rfam family: 5.8S ribosomal RNA (bases 230-383)
Source: RNAcentral